RNAcentral lists this ribosomal RNA (825 nucleotides) under uncultured Mycoplasmatota bacterium. RNAcentral describes it as "bacterial SSU rRNA". It matches the Rfam family "Bacterial small subunit ribosomal RNA", at positions 39 to 864 of the family's 1533-position model. Lineage: Bacteria; Bacillati; Mycoplasmatota. The record is from RNAcentral.
GCGGCAUGCCUAAUACAUGCAAGUCGGACGAGGGUAGCAAUACCCUAGUGGCGAACGGGUGAGUAACACGUGGGAAAUCUGCCUUUAAGUCGAGGAUAACUGCUGGAAACGGCAGCUAAAACUGGAUAGGUUAUAUUGGGGCAUCCUGAUAUAAUUAAAAGUCCUUUACGGGAAUGCUUAAAGAUGAUCCUGCGUCGCAUUAGCUAGUUGGUGAGGUAGCGGCUCACCAAGGCGACGAUGCGUAGCUGUGCUGAGAGGCAAAACAGCCACACUGGGACUGAGACACGGCCCAGACUCCUACGGGAGGCAGCAGUAGGGAAUUUUCGGCAAUGGGGGCAACCCUGACCGAGCAAUGCCGCGUGAACGAAGAAGGUCUUCGGAUCGUAAAGUUCUGUUAUCAGGAAAGAAUAGCAUAGCGAGGAAAUGCGCUAUGUGUGACGGUACCUGAUGAGGAAGCCCCGGCUAACUAUGUGCCAGCAGCCGCGGUAACACAUAGGGGGCGAGCGUUAUCCGGAAUUAUUGGGCGUAAAGAGUGCGUAGGCGGUCUAUUAAGUCUGGCGUGAAAUACCACAGCUUAACUGUGGAGGGUCGUUGGAAACUGAUGGACUUGAGUACGGUAGAGGUAAGUGGAAUUCCAAGUGGAGCGGUGGAAUGCGUAGAUAUUUGGAGGAACACCAGUGGCGAAGGCGGCUUACUGGGCCGGAACUGACGCUGAGGCACGAAAGCGUGGGGARMAAACAGGAUUAGAUACCCUGGUAGUCCACGCCGUAMMCGUUGAGCACUAAGUGUCGGAUGUAGAUUCGGCGCUGCAGUUAACACAGUAAG